GCAAAAUUGGAUAAAAUGCGGAAAGAGAAACAAACGAAAAGAGAAGAGAAUAAAAAGGGAGGGAGACAAAGAAAAGACACUGAGACUUUAUUUGCCUACCAAACAAGAGAAUUAAGGAAGAAUGAAAUUGAGAUUUAGAGUUGAAGACUUACCUGGCAGUGAAUUAUUUCUAUUUUUUCCUAUUAUUUAGAAACGACACUUAGGGUGUACGAACACUACUAUAUAUCAUUGUACAAAAAGCUAUAAGAAGUGUACUAUAGAGAGAUACGAACACUGCUUAUAAGAUGUACCAAAAAUUUAAUUUGUGUACUUUUUUCUACCACGUGUUAAAACUUAUUAUGUGAGAACUAGUUUACACUGUCCACUAAUUCAUUUUCAGUUCAACUUUUCAAUUGUCACCGUUUUCUUUCUUCCCCAUACUUCUGGACUUUGCAAUUCCAUAGAGAAACACCAUUGUUCCUCUCUGGAUCUGAAUCAUUUUUUACUAUUAGCUUUCAUGUCAAGAUACUCAGAUGGCAAUUAAUUUACUUUCUUUCUUUCAAGUUUUAGUUUUUAAAAGUAUUGCAUACCCUUACCCGAAAGAUUUGUUGUGCUAAUGUAAGAUCUUCUCAUCAAUUUGGAGCUUGAUGAGUGCAGGUGCACUUUGUAAGCCUUAUUUAGAAGCAUCAGUGGAAAAAUCUUCCAUUUUGUGACAUUGCUUCAAAGCUAAUUCCUCCAGCAAAGGGUUGAUCAACUUGACAACAUCUGGACACAGCGAUGGCAAGCAGUACUCCUAUUUUGGGAUCUCUUCGUGGAGGGCUAACCAUUGGGAGCUAAGGAGGAUGAAGUAACAAAGAUGGUAUGCAGGUUAUUCAAUUUUUUUUUUUUGGCAGCCUCAAUGUUCCCAUUUACCGGUACUUCAAAAUACCUCCUUGCUAUGUGGUUUUUGGAAUAGCAAAGGUUGGCUACUAGGCUAGGGGAUUGUAGCUCCUGCUCACAUGAAAUGAUGAAUGAAGAUGUACUUGAGGAUGUCAAGCUCCAGCUCUUUUGAAAUGAUAAAUGAAGAUGUACUUGAAGAUGUCAUUUGAAUAUAGUUCUGCUCAACAAUGAAUAAAGAAUUGCAAAAAUGAAGAAGUUGGAGCUUAAUUGGAUGAAAAGUGUACACAUCAUAGAAGAGGAAGAUCACAAAAAGGAAAAGUAAACGUGUUGACUCCAAGAAUAUUUCAGAGAGGAUAUCAAGAAAAACAUAAACUGUGAUUUAUCCUUGUUAUAAAAGGAAUUGUACAUUAUUCUGGAAGAAUUAGAACUCCUACACAUAAAAGGAAAGAAGGGGGCUGCUACACUUUAUUAUGCAAGCUGGCAGAUUCACGUGGAACAAGGAAACUUACAAGGUAUUGAAUCCUAAUAUAAUUUGGAGUGAGAAUUAACCAAGAGAAAGAAAAGAGGGUUUAUUUGUGUUAUAAAAGGAAGCAGAUGUACGUGACUGGAAGGGAUUCAUUCGCGUUGGAAUGCAACAGACGCUGCUGUACGUGAACUUAUUCAUGUUGGAGAAGCAACUACGCAGCUACACACAGGCUUCGACACCGAAGUAUCAGGCCGGAUCUACUUCUCUGACUCGUGGCUGAUCGACUCCUCAGCUGCUACUUGAGUUUUCCAGGGUGAGCAUAGCGUCCGCUGACCUCGAAGACUCUUCUAUUGUUUAUGUCUUAUUUUUCUUUCAAGAUAUGAUUUGAGACAUUUUAUGUAUUAUUAUUCGGACCGCAGUUAUUCGGAU
Lycium ferocissimum is the source of this 1753-nucleotide long non-coding RNA. RefSeq lists it as uncharacterized. The record is from RefSeq and is a predicted model, not a curated record. The transcript has 5 exons. NCBI's taxonomy places the organism in Eukaryota, Viridiplantae, Streptophyta, Magnoliopsida, Solanales, Solanaceae.